AGAGUGAACGCUGGCGGUAGGCCUAACACAUGCAAGUCGAACGGCAGCACGGUAAGAGCUUGCUCUUAUGGGUGGCGAGUGGCGGACGGGUGAGGAAUACAUCGGAAUCUACCUUUUGGUGGGGGAUAACGUAAGGAAACUUACGCUAAUACCGCAUACGCCCUUCGGGGGAAAGCCGGGGACCAGCAAUGGCCUGGCGCUGAUAGAUGAGCCGAUGUCGGAUUAGCUAGUUGGUGAGGUAAUGGCUCACCAAGGCGACGAUCCGUAGCUGGUCUGAGAGGAUGAUCAGCCACACUGGAACUGAGACACGGUCCAGACUCCUACGGGAGGCAGCAGUGGGAAUAGUUGGACAAUGGGCGCAAGCCUGAUCCAGCCAUACCGCGUGGUGAAGAAGGCCGUUGGUUGUAAGUCCCGUUUAGGUUAGGAAAGUAAAGCGUAGUUACGGUUAACGUACCCGGUUGUUCCGUAGACGGUAACCCAAAGAAGUAACGACGACCGCUAACUUCGUCGCCAGCACGCCG
RNAcentral lists this ribosomal RNA (521 nucleotides) under uncultured soil bacterium. RNAcentral describes it as "bacterial SSU rRNA". It matches the Rfam family "Bacterial small subunit ribosomal RNA", at positions 26 to 517 of the family's 1533-position model. The record is from RNAcentral.